This is a long non-coding RNA of Haliotis rubra (blacklip abalone), 1315 nucleotides long. RefSeq lists it as uncharacterized. The record is from RefSeq and is a predicted model, not a curated record. NCBI's taxonomy places the organism in Eukaryota, Metazoa, Mollusca, Gastropoda, Lepetellida, Haliotidae. The transcript has 2 exons.
GCUAUUUUACACCCUCUCAGAUGACACGGUGUGGGACUGAAUUUAUCGACUGUACCAUUUUCAAGGGAGGCAAUUCAACGCCUCUGCCUCUCUCUCGUCUAAUAUUACAAACUUUAUGUGGUCAGUCGGCAAGCGUUGUGAUUCAUUGGUAUCAAUCACACAGUGGUAUCAAUCACACAUAGUCAACCCAGUCAACAUCAGUAUAUUCCACCACCGUGUUCGUGUUUUUUAUCUGUACUAGGGACUGGUUGGCCUCUAUCACUGUUUCCGGACAGUUGCACCUUGUCAGCAGAUCCCUCAGCUCACACAGCAACCUCACACUUGUUUGUUUCCCUUGGGCAGUGUCAAUAUCAUCUGUAUGAGCCUUCAGUGAUGUGCCACUUGACUCUGCACCAUUCAUGUUGCUAGGUGAUAGACAAUCUUCUGAUGAGACUUUUGGAAACUUGACAUUAAUACCUGUUGGCAAUGAGGUCCUGCAAUCCUUGCUGACAUGUAACAUUGGGGUGUCUCUGUAUUGCUUGGGUAAGGCUUCCCAUGGUAGGUUGUUUUGAUAUAAUGUGGCCAGAAUAUGCUUACAUGGGAAAAAAUGUCUUCUAAAGUCAUGGCAUGAACAGAGAUCUUUGGUACCCCUAUUAAGAACAACAUUGUAAUUGUUCACUUGGUAAUUUGAUUCACCUUUGUGGAUGGAUUCUGUCUGCAUCACCUCAUUCAGUCUCCUUUUACAGUGGUCAAAGCAUGUCCACCCUCUCCCAGUCAAGAACUCGGGGACAGAAUCCUUCAAUGCCAUCUUCAUUCUGUUGUUCUUUUCAUAGUAACUGCAAUGAUAAUUGUUAUUUCCAGAAUAUAUCUCAAGGUUGUAUAUUUAUCAAUACCCAAAGAAAAUUUUACUUUUUCCUAUGAUCUUAUUCUGAUUUUGUGAUAUCCAUUCAACUGUAAGUUUUAUGACAAUUAAUCUGAUAUCCUUGAAGGAAGGGUUGUAUUUCAGUAUCCACUAUUUGCAGGUUUGUACUGUUUAAGGGUUUAUUCUUUCAAAUUGUGCUCAGUUGAAGGUUGUAAGGAGUAUUAGGAAUGGGAAGGGAGUCUCACUGAAAUUCUUCUGAAUUUUAGACAACUAUGAACAAUGACUUAGCUAUGUUAAGAAAAAGAACAAAGAUAAAAUAAAUUUCUGGCCACCCACUGCUAAUAUGUUCAACUCAGCAUAUAACAAUGCCAAAAGAAUGAAACCUGCACGUCUGGUGUAGGAUUUAUUGUGAGCAAACAUUUCAUUUCAAGCUUACAGUUUAACAUUAUCCAAUUAAACAAAACUUCUGAAUUA